GAAUGGUUGGACAAGAAAUAAUCUGUCUUAAAUUAAUAUAUUGAAUUUAACUUUUAAGUGAAAAGGCUUAAAUAAUCUGAAGGGACGAUAAGACCCUAUAAAACUUUAUAUUUAUAAGGUAGUAAUUAGUUUUAUUUAAUGAUAUUAUUUUGGAGUAUUUGGUUGGGGUGACAAGGAUAAAAUAUACAAUAAUUGUCUUUUUUUUUUACAGUUAUAUUUGGUUUAAUGAUCCUAAAAGGGAUUUAAGAUUAAGUUACUUUAGGGAUAACAGCGUAAUUUUCUUUAAGAGUUCUUAUCGACAAGAAAGUUUGCGACCUCGAUGUUGAAUUAAAAGUUCUUUAUAAAGUAAAGAUUAUAAUAGAAGGUCUGUUCGACCUUUAAAAUUUUACAUGAUUUGAGUUCAGACCGGUGUGAGCCAGGUUGG
RNAcentral lists this ribosomal RNA (424 nucleotides) under Procambarus sp. 1 VSDJB-2020. Its description in RNAcentral is "partial large subunit ribosomal RNA". The stretch from base 264 to 422 matches the Rfam family "Bacterial large subunit ribosomal RNA", at positions 2473 to 2632 of the family's 2925-position model. The record is from RNAcentral. Lineage: Eukaryota; Metazoa; Arthropoda; Malacostraca; Decapoda; Cambaridae.